RNAcentral lists this ribosomal RNA (415 nucleotides) under Onchocerca ochengi. RNAcentral describes it as "partial 12S ribosomal RNA". The record is from RNAcentral. Lineage: Eukaryota; Metazoa; Nematoda; Chromadorea; Rhabditida; Onchocercidae.
GUUGUGGUGCUAUGAGUUUUUAGUUUGUUUUUAUGUUGUUUUUUGUAAAAUAUUUUGAUUUUUUUUAGUUUCUUGUGGUAUCAAAAAUUUGUUUUUUGAACUGGAUUAGUACCCAGGUAAUCAAAAUUUAAUAAUUCGGGAGUAAAGUUUUGUUUAAACCGAAAAAAUAUUGACUGACUUUAGAUUUUUCUUUGGAACAUGUGAUUUGCUGGAGAGCCCUCUUUUUUGGUGAAUUUUGUUGGCACAUGUAUGAUUGUUUAGUUUUUAUUUUAUUUUGUAAUGCUUUGUUGUUUUGGCAUUAAAAACAGAUAUAUAUUUGGCUUAUGAAUUUAUGUUUCAUGUGUUACUAUUAUGAAUUUUUUUUGGAUUAGUUUUUUAUUUUUUUUUGAAAUUGGAAAAGAAAGUAAUUUUUUUU